GAUGAAGAACGUAGCGAAAUGCGAUAAGUAAUGUGAAUUGCAGAAUUCAGUGAAUCAUCGAAUCUUUGAACGCACAUUGCGCCCCUUGGUAUUCCAUGGGGCAUGCCUGUUCGAGCGUCAUUUGUACCUUCAAGCUCUGCUUGGUGUUGGGUGUUUGUCUCGCCUCUGCGUGUAGACUCGCCUCAAAACAAUUGGCAGCCGGCGUAUUGAUUUCGGAGCGCAGUACAUCUCGCGCUUUGCACUCAUAACGACGAAGUCCAAAAGUACAUUUUUACACUCUUGACCUCGGAUCAGGUAGGGAUACCCGCUGAACUUAAGCAUAUCAAUAAGCGGAGGA
RNAcentral lists this unclassified non-coding RNA (337 nucleotides) under soil metagenome. Its description in RNAcentral is "partial contains 5.8S ribosomal RNA, internal transcribed spacer 2, and large subunit ribosomal RNA". The stretch from base 1 to 120 matches the Rfam family "5.8S ribosomal RNA", at positions 35 to 154 of the family's 154-position model. The record is from RNAcentral.